Molecule: long non-coding RNA, 179 nt
Organism: Oxyura jamaicensis (ruddy duck)
Lineage: Eukaryota; Metazoa; Chordata; Aves; Anseriformes; Anatidae
Exons: 4
Source: RefSeq, a predicted model, not a curated record
AAGGGUUUAAUUCACUAAGAGCAGCAGUAGAUGAGGAUUUAGAACGAAUAGAAAGUCGAUCACAGCAUUGGAAAAGCCCCUAACUUCAUUAUCGGAGGUAGCAUUACAAAACAGGAGGGGGAUGGAUAUCCUUUUCCUACAGCAAGGUGGGCUCUGCAACAUUAAGGAAGGGCUGGGAA